Long non-coding RNA from Hemicordylus capensis (graceful crag lizard), 830 nucleotides. RefSeq lists it as uncharacterized. The transcript is spliced from 4 exons. NCBI's taxonomy places the organism in Eukaryota, Metazoa, Chordata, Lepidosauria, Squamata, Cordylidae. The record is from RefSeq and is a predicted model, not a curated record.
CAUCCAGAGAAAACAGAAGCAGAAUGGCACAUUGUAUUACAGAUUACAUUGUGACAACUAAAAAUGAUUCGAUCCUUGUCAAAGGAGGAUGGGUCUAGGACUCCCAGCUGUUCCAUGGAUAUGAGAAGAGCUCUAUGGACGGUGAAAUGCAAAAGGUAUCAAGCUACACCUGAGAACCUGGGAAACCUCCAUACAUCGUGGAUGAACCCAUUAUGGAGGCUUCAGGAUCCAGUUCCAUGACAUGGAAAUAUGAACCUCCCAAAGUGGUUUACAUAAAAGCAUUAAAAUAACGAGCACCAACAAACAUCUGUACAAAAAAGCAGAAAAGAACAGCCACAAAAAGACUCUAUAAAAGGGUGAAGACUCCACCAUCACACACAAUACUGCAAAGUUCUGUGCCGCAACGUGUAGAAUCCACAGGACCAUGACAGCUCCUGCCUGGAGGGACCGUGGGCUGAGCCUACAAAAUUCAAUCUUAGCUUCAGCUCUCACACAGGCUACUGUAACCUCCUUUUAAUUGCAUCCUUUUAAUUUCUCUUGUGUACCUUUAAACACCCUUAAUUAUUUUAAUUAUUUUUAAGUACUCUUACACUUAGAGCCCUUCUGGCCCACUGUUUACAAGGAUGCAGACUUCUCUCUCGUAGACAGUCUCAGUUCUAUUUUAUAUUUUAUAUUUUAAUUUUUAAAAAAUUUCUUCCACCUUAUUACUACCCUACACUUUUAUAGCUUCACAGCUGUAGUUUUAUAUUUUAUAUUGUACCCUUGUCUGUCCCUCUUGUAUUCUACUGCUCUUAUGCUGGUCUAAGACCCAAAUAAAGGAAUUAUUGUUA